GAGUUUGAUCGUGGCUCAGAUUGAACGCUGGCGGCAUGCCUUACACAUGCAAGUCGAACGGCAGCAUGAUCUAGCUUGCUAGAUUGAUGGCGAGUGGCGAACGGGUGAGUAAUACAUCGGAACGUGCCCUGUAGUGGGGGAUAACUAGUCGAAAGAUUAGCUAAUACCGCAUACGACCUGAGGGUGAAAGUGGGGGACCGCAAGGCCUCAUGCUAUAGGAGCGGCCGAUGUCUGAUUAGCUAGUUGGUGGGUAAAGGCCCACCAAGGCGACGAUCAGUAGCUGGUCUGAGAGGACGAUCAGCCACACUGGGACUGAGACACGGCCCAGACUCCUACGGGAGGCAGCAGUGGGGAAUUUUGGACAAUGGGCGAAAGCCUGAUCCAGCAAUGCCGCGUGUGUGAGAAGGCCUCGG
This 413-nucleotide ribosomal RNA is filed under the name uncultured microorganism. Its description in RNAcentral is "bacterial SSU rRNA". It matches the Rfam family "Bacterial small subunit ribosomal RNA", at positions 9 to 420 of the family's 1533-position model. The record is from RNAcentral.